GCUGGGUGUGGUGGCUCACGCCUGUAAUCCCAGCACUUUGGGAGGCCGAGGUGGGUGGAUCACCUGAGGUCAGGAGUUCGAGACCAGCCUGACCAACAUGGAGAAACCCCAUCUCUA
Molecule: unclassified non-coding RNA, 117 nt
Organism: Macaca fascicularis (crab-eating macaque)
Lineage: Eukaryota; Metazoa; Chordata; Mammalia; Primates; Cercopithecidae
Rfam family: Metazoan signal recognition particle RNA
About the family: The signal recognition particle (SRP) is a universally conserved ribonucleoprotein. It is involved in the co-translational targeting of proteins to membranes. The eukaryotic SRP consists of a 300-nucleotide 7S RNA and six proteins: SRPs 72, 68, 54, 19, 14, and 9.
Source: Ensembl